GUGACAAGGAGAGGAUGCUCAGGGUGGGUUGAAAACCUUCACUAAGGUUAUAAUCGGUUGUCGAAUUGUAGAAGCCUAUAUACAGCUGUAACUCAUCUGGUAGGAGAUAAAUCUGACAUAGAUGCUAAAGAUGCCAAGAGAAUAAUAAUGAAAAAAAAAAAAAUAAAAUGGCAGAUCAUACAAUCCCGUACGCCCCUACAAAGUUUGGCCAAGGAAGGGAGUUAGGGCGGGGGACAUGGGAAUUUUAAAGAGACACUUCACAUUACGUUACAUUAGCCAAGAUUUUAAACCGCUGGUCACGUUUACAAGCUUUUUAAAGACGGCGGGAAUGGCGGGAAUGAAGAACACCUUGAAAUUGUUCGUUUAUCGUUAAUUUUCUCGGUCGACGAGCUCGUUUAGUGUAUUGCUGACAAGAGUAUUAUUUUUUAUCAACAGGAUAAUCGGUCGUUUUUCAGUCCCAAAGGAAAAACUUUAAAACCAGGGGCCUCAAAGGUUGAGGAUAAGCGCGGGAAAGACUCAAGUGCGAAGUCUGCAUCGAGGGCCGUGCGAAAAGCAAGAAGAGGAGGAAGUUGUACCCCAGAAGCUAAAGAAAUCUGCCAAACAGAUGGAAACAAAAACAAGCCCGGAGGUUGUGCAUGUUAAGGAGAGCCCUGUAAAGCCUAAAGAAACUCCACAGAAACUGACCUCUGCUCUUGACUUCUUUGGUUCAACUUCUGCAGAAAGAGAAUCACGAAAGGUUGUUGAUACAAAGAGGAAAGAGAGAUCUGAGGAGGCAAAAGAAAAUGGGGGAACACUUACAAAUGAAGACGAGGAGUCACUACAUGGAAAAGAGAAGAGACGGAAGGAAAAUAAAACUCUUAAUGGGAGAGAAACAGAACAGCCAUCCAAGAGAGGAAAAGUACACUCAUCUACCCCACAACUUGAAGUUAAAAAAAAAAAAACAUCUCCUGAAAAGAAGAAGGGAGAAGAAAACUGCCUAGAGGUACUGACAUUUGUUGCUACAGGAGUGCUGGAAAGUGUUGAGAGAGAUGACACUGCAGAUUUGAUUCAGAGGUAUGGUGGCAAGGUGACUGAUCAGUCAGUGAGCAAGAAAACAAGUUAUAUUGUGGUGGGACAGGGUGCUGGUGACAGCAAACUUUCUGAGCUGAGCAGUGCGGUGCAACACAGCUAUGUUGUAGAUGAUGAACUAGUCAAGACAAAACCAGUCAAGACAAAAGCAAGGAAGAAGAUCAGCUAUGAACCUUCCAGCAAGGAAAAGAAGUCAAAGAAGAAAGAAAAAACCGAAGAAGUUGAAAAAUUGAGUCAAGGAAAGGAAAAGCUCAAAGGGGAAUCAUAGCCUCCUAGUGGAUGAUCUGUGUCAUCUUCUGCUACACAGACCCCUACAUUAUCACCUGCGUCAAAAGGAGUCUAGUUUGUUGUUGGUUGACAAAUAUCGCCCUUGCUCAGUGAAGCAGAUUUUUGGCCAGCAAGGUGACAAGAGUAACAUGCGUAAACUGAUGAACUAGCUGAGAGACUGGGAGAAGAACAGAAAGAAACCACCAACUAAAUGUAAGUGGACCUGUGGAUAGUGCAGUGAAAUUCAAAACGAUUUAUUUGUCGUCUUUUUAAUUUACGGUACAUGUACAUGUACAUGUAUUUCUCAAAAUAUUAGUGAUACAUGUAUGCAUGUAUUAAAUAACAUUGUUGGUAAUUUCCAUGACAACAUCAGUUCUGAUAAUUUAAAUUGUAAAUAACCUACAGGUUAUGUACUCUUGGGAUAAAGUGCAUUUAUUAAGGUGGCUCUAUAUAGUAUUUCACAAAGCUUUGGAUAUUAAAUAUGCAUAAGUAAUUUCUCCCUUGGCAAAUGUUUACAACAUAGCACUCGGUAGAAGGUCAAUAAUAAAAAACCUACAGCCUUAGGCUA
RNAcentral lists this unclassified non-coding RNA (1903 nucleotides) under Orbicella faveolata. RNAcentral describes it as "replication factor C subunit 1-like, transcript variant X2". Lineage: Eukaryota; Metazoa; Cnidaria; Anthozoa; Scleractinia; Merulinidae. The record is from RNAcentral.